CGUUUAUGACGCCGUUGACUUUUUCUCACAUGUUUGACCAUUCGUCUUGUUCAAAAAAUUUUGUUAUGAGUUGUUUUAUCACUCAUAGUACUUUAAGUGUGAUUUAUAUCUUAUACAUUUACAUAAAAUUUUUGAAUAAGACGAAUGGUCAAACAUGUGAGAAAAAGUCAACAGUGUCAUCUAUU
Molecule: microRNA precursor, 185 nt
Filed under: Oryza nivara
Lineage: Eukaryota; Viridiplantae; Streptophyta; Magnoliopsida; Poales; Poaceae
Description: MIR812 microRNA precursor family
Rfam family: MIR812 microRNA precursor family
Source: Rfam by way of RNAcentral